RNAcentral lists this ribosomal RNA (385 nucleotides) under Clostridioides difficile. RNAcentral's name for it is "bacterial SSU rRNA". It matches the Rfam family "Bacterial small subunit ribosomal RNA", at positions 990 to 1375 of the family's 1533-position model. The record is from RNAcentral. Lineage: Bacteria; Bacillati; Bacillota; Clostridia; Peptostreptococcales; Peptostreptococcaceae.
AAUGACAUCUCCUUAAUCGGAGAGUUCCCUUCGGGGACAUUGGUGACAGGUGGUGCAUGGUUGUCGUCAGCUCGUGUCGUGAGAUGUUGGGUUAAGUCCCGCAACGGGCGCAACCCUUGUCUUUAGUUGCCAUCAUUAAGUUGGGCACUCUAGAGAGACUGCCAGGGAUAACCUGGAGGAAGGUGGGGAUGACGUCAAAUCAUCAUGCCCCUUAUGCUUAGGGCUACACACGUGCUACAAUGGGUAGUACAGAGGGUUGCCAAGCCGUAAGGUGGAGCUAAUCCCUUAAAGCUACUCUCAGUUCGGAUUGUAGGCUGAAACUCGCCUACAUGAAGCUGGAGUUACUAGUAAUCGCAGAUCAGAAUGCUGCGGUGAAUGCGUUCCC